GCUUGAGCACGUAGGUGGGUUUGUAAGUCAGGUGUGAAAGCCUUCUGUUCAACGGGAGAAUUGCAUCUGAAACUACGAAUCUUGAGUGUAGGAGGGGAGAAUGGAACUUCUGGUGGAGCGGUGAAAUGCGUAGAUAUCAGAAGGAACGCCGGCGGCGAAAGCGAUUCUCUGGCCUAUUACCGACACUCAGUGUGCGAAAGCUAGGGGAGCAAACGGGAUUAGAUACCCCGGUAGUCCUAGCCGUAAACGAUGGGCACUAAGUAGUGGGAAUUACCGAUGUUCUCUCUGCCGUAGCUAACGCAUUAAGUGCCCCGCCUGGGGAGUACGGCCGCAAGGCUAAAACUCAAAAGAAUUGACGGGGGCUCGCACAAGCGGUGGAGCCUGUGGCUUAAUUCGAUGCAACGCGAAGAACCUUACCGGGGCUUGACAUGGUAGAAGUAGGAACCCGAAAGGGUAACGAACGGUAUCCAGUCCGUGACUAUCACAGGUGUUGCAUGGCUGUCGUCAGCUCGUGUCGUGAGACGUUGGGUUAAGUCCCCUAACGAGCGAAACCCUUGUUUUUAGUUACCAGCGGGUUAUGCCGGGUACUCUAGAAAGACUGCCGUCGUCAAGACGGAGGAAGGUGGGGAUGACGUCAAGUCAUCAUGGCCCUUAUGCCCCGGGCUGCACACGUGCUACAAUGGUCGGUACAAACGGAAGCGAAGCCGAGAGGUGAAGCGAAUCCAAGC
RNAcentral lists this ribosomal RNA (728 nucleotides) under uncultured Planctomycetota bacterium. RNAcentral's name for it is "bacterial SSU rRNA". It matches the Rfam family "Bacterial small subunit ribosomal RNA", at positions 558 to 1278 of the family's 1533-position model. Lineage: Bacteria; Pseudomonadati; Planctomycetota. The record is from RNAcentral.